Molecule: ribosomal RNA, 309 nt
Filed under: uncultured bacterium
Lineage: Bacteria
Description: partial 16S ribosomal RNA
Rfam family: Bacterial small subunit ribosomal RNA
Source: RNAcentral
AGAGACAGCAGCAGCCACGGUAAUACGUAGGGUGCGAGCGUUAAUCGGAAUUACUGGGCGUAAAGCGUGCGCAGGCGGUUCGUUAAGACAGAUGUGAAAUCCCCGGGCUUAACCUGGGAACUGCAUUUGUGACUGACGGGCUAGAGUAUGGCAGAGGGGGGUAGAAUUCCACGUGUAGCAGUGAAAUGCGUAGAGAUGUGGAGGAAUACCGAUGGCGAAGGCAGCCCCCUGGGCCAAUACUGACGCUCAUGCACGAAAGCGUGGGGAGCAAACAGGAUUAGAUACCCCCGUAGUCCCUGUCUCUUAUAC